This 1135-nucleotide unclassified non-coding RNA is filed under the name Leishmania donovani. RNAcentral describes it as "gene:unknown". The record is from RNAcentral. Lineage: Eukaryota; Euglenozoa; Kinetoplastea; Trypanosomatida; Trypanosomatidae.
ACGACGCGCCAGCUCAACGGAACGAGUAUUUCGGUUCAUCGCUUCACCAGUCACCACCCCGACAGAGACCGCCACCGUUGUCAAGCAUGUUGGGUGCACCGAGUCCGGCAGCAGGCGAAUUCAGACGCCGUCUUGCACGGCUUCAGGGGUGAAGGGCGGACUAGGCAGCAGAGGCACUAACGGGCCGAAGAUCUUGGCAGCCCUCUCCGCGCCAAGGGGCAGCACCAUCCGCGAGAACCCUCAAAGAGCUCUGAAGACAGGGCUGCCCGUCGGGUGGCCGGUAGAGGGACAAGACAAUGAGGUGCUCACAGGGGUGGAAGCUUGCCACGCGGGAAGACGACACCCCACGGAGCUGCCUUUUCCUCUGCCAGAGUGCACGCCAAUGCAGCUGUGUUGCGCGUGCAGACGACCGGCGAUGCUCACGGAGGACCUGACCGGAGCGGGGCUGUACCGCCAAGUCAGCACUGCGGAGAGAAGCGACUGCUCACCCCUGCCCAUGUGCCCUCGAACACGCUUGUCUGUUUCUCUGCGUUUCCUUUUUCGUCAUGUUUCUUUUUGAUAGGCAAAUUUCGUAAAAGAAACGCAAAAAAUAAACCGAAGGUUUCCUGCUGAUUAUGCUGCUGGUGCUGGUGCUGGAUGAUGAUGGUGCGGAGUGGCUCUCUUCGUAAUGUUUAUUAUCGUUAUCCUCUGCGUGCUCUUUUUCUAUUCACCUGUGUCGUGCCGUUGCCUUCUUUGCGGCGCUGCUGUGCGUGUGCGUGUGUUGGAACCCCUCAUGAGGUGAAGGAGGAAGGCAUGAGAAAGAUAUCGAUGGAGGUAUAGAGGUUCUCGAUCUCUCGCUCGCCCUGCGCCUCGUUCCCAUUCGCCCACGUCGCCGUGGCCAUCCGCACGCAACGGCCGAUCCACCGCGACGUGGCGCACAGCAAGAGUGCACGGUAUCGAGUCUUGCUGCUUAAAAGCGGCACUUGCGCAGACCAUCUAACCCAUACCAUGCACAUGCACGAUCCUGUGACGUGUUUCUCUUCCCAUCUUCUCGUUAACACUUGCUUCUCUUUCCCUGCGUCCACACGCUUCUGUUUGGUACUGCUCUGCACUCCUGCCGCCACCUUCCCUUCCUCGCACCUCCGACCUCAUCAAG